Molecule: ribosomal RNA, 482 nt
Filed under: uncultured bacterium
Lineage: Bacteria
Description: bacterial SSU rRNA
Rfam family: Bacterial small subunit ribosomal RNA
Source: RNAcentral
GAUGAACGCUAGCGGCAGGCUUAAUACAUGCAAGUCAAGGGGGUAGCAAUACAACCGGCGCACGGGUGAGUAACGCGUACACAACAUACCAUAUACUGGAGUAUAGCUUUGGGAAACUGAAGGUAAUCCUCCAUAACAUUGCGAGAGGGCAUCUGAUUGCAAUUAAAGUUCCGGCGGUAUAUGAUUGGUGUGCGUUUGAUUAGCCAGUUGGUAGGGUAACGGCCUACCAAGGCGACGAUCAAUAGCUGGCGUGAGAGCGCGACCAGCCACACUGGAACUGAGACACGGUCCAGACUCCUACGGGAGGCAGCAGUAGGGAAUAUUGGACAAUGGGCGAAAGCCUGAUCCAGCCAUGCCGCGUGAUAGAUGAAGGCCCUCUGGGUUGUAAAUAUCUUUUAUCUGGGAAGAAACUCCUCUAUUCUUAGAGGCCUGACGGUACCAGAGGAAUAAGCACCGGCUAACUCCGUGCCAGCAGCCGACGG